RNAcentral lists this unclassified non-coding RNA (253 nucleotides) under fungal sp. Its description in RNAcentral is "partial contains small subunit ribosomal RNA, internal transcribed spacer 1, and 5.8S ribosomal RNA". The stretch from base 1 to 46 matches the Rfam family "Eukaryotic small subunit ribosomal RNA", at positions 1786 to 1831 of the family's 1831-position model. RNAcentral also lists the same sequence under 1 other name. The record is from RNAcentral. Lineage: Eukaryota; Fungi.
AAGUCGUAACAAGGUCUCCGUUGGUGAACCAGCGGAGGGAUCAUUAUCGAGUUUAUCAACUCCCAACCCUAUGUGAACCUACCUUUAUGUUGCUUCGGCGGUGUCGCGCCGGGUUGCCCCCAGCGGGCUCCCGGGACCACGCGCCCGCCGGAGACCACAAACUCUUGAUUUUGCGAAAGCAGUAUUCUUCUGAGUGGCCGAAAGGCAAAAAACAAAUGAAUCAAAACUUUCAACAACGGAUCUCUUGGUUCUG